GACGAACGCUGGCGGCGUGCUUAACACAUGCAAGCCGAACGGAAAGGCCCUGCUUUUGUGGGGUGCUCGAGUGGCGAACGGGUGAGUAACACGUGAGUAACCUGCCCUUGACUUCGGGAUAACUUCAGGAAACUGGGGCUAAUACCGGAUAGCAGCUCCUGCUGCAUGGUGGGGGCUGGUAAGUUUCGGCGGUUGGGGAUGGACUCGCGGCUUAUCAGCUUGUUGGUGGGGUAGUGGCUUACCAAGGCUCUGACGGGUAGCCGGCCUGAGAGGGUGACCGGCCACAUUGGGACUGAGAUACGGCCCAGACUCCUACGGGAGGCAGCAGUGGGGAAUAUUGCACAAUGGGCGGAAGCCUGAUGCAGCAACGCCGCGUGCGGGAUGACGGCCUUCGGGUUGUAAACCGCUUUCGCCUGUGACGAAGCGUGAGUGACGGUAAUGGGUAAAGAAGCACCGGCUAACUACGUG
Molecule: ribosomal RNA, 468 nt
Filed under: uncultured bacterium
Lineage: Bacteria
Description: partial 16S ribosomal RNA
Rfam family: Bacterial small subunit ribosomal RNA
Source: RNAcentral